UUUCAGAAAACAGAAAGGAAGUCCCCUAUUGAAUUGAAUAACGACUCUGUAAAAAGAUGUGAACACAAGAGAUGUUUAAAGCUCAACUGGAAGAAGGAAGUAGUAAGGCUGAGUUAGAAAACAACAGCAGCCUUAGCCUUGGCCAACAGUGGGGGUUCCUGAUCUCAAGCCCUAAACUGCUUGAUGACAGAAACGCUCUGGCGAGAAAGGUUGCUUUUCUCCUCUGUGUUCUGCAGCUCACCCUGUGCUUCGUCAUCUGACCUUGGGGAAGUCAUUUCACCUUCUCUGAGCCUCGGUUUUCCUGGAAAGCAAAGAGGUUGGGUUUGGUUAGAUAACUUUCUAGAUCCCUCCAGCUUUAACACCUAAGAAGUUCUCUGGAGUUCUCAACACAUCAUUUCCAUGACUCUGAAAGUCACAGAUUCUAUAUAUGAAAAAGCAAAAUGGCCUUAGAGUAGAGGAGGGAUGUGAAAUUUUUAAAUUAGAAUGGAAAGAAAUUGAAAUGACAGCAGGACAAAUACAUCUUUCGCACCUGAACUAGAAAAUAGGUGGCAGAUGACAAAUGAAUAGGUUUUGGACUACUCGCUGACUGUAAACUUUCCUGCACUUUUAUGUGAAGCUAACAGUUCACUUUAAAUAUAUACAAUGAGUUCUGACAGAGGAGAGCAAGCAGCUCAAAUAAUGAAGGUCAGCCACUAAUGCCCAAGUCCCACUGCUUUAGAGUGUGCUCAGAGACAACAUGAGGCAUGAAGAGGAACAAACACAUUUGUCCCAACCAUGACCCUGCCAGUAGCAGCCUGGGCCAGUAGUGGACAUGACUGGAACCCAAAGGUCAAAUAGAAUCAGAGGAAAGGACACAUGGUUUGAGGAGAUCUCAGCAUGACCUUGAUGGAAUAAACAGUUCAAACUUCAAAGCCUGAAGUGCCGAGAUCAUGGAUUCCUUUGGAACCAUUACAGCUUUGAGAUGCUUCGGGGUAAAGGACUGUGUACUAUAGAAAGGAGGAAAUGGAAGAGCAAAAGUGCAAACAGAAGGAUGAAGCAAUCUGGAGAUUAGUGACAACCAGAAGCUCAAGGGACGUAAGGAAGAAGUGGAUCCAUGGAACUCAGGAGCUAGAACCAUCCACAUGGAAUUUCAUCAAUGCUGGAAACGAGAUUUAGAAGGUGCCUGGGCAGGAGAGUCACUUCGGAGCAGACAUCACUGGUCGGGAAAGCAGGACUAGGUGAGAUACUACAAUAAGCACACAAAAACUGACAAAGAUUUCCACGGAAAGAGAAGAACAAAGGAGAAGGUGGAAGGGAGUGAAGCCAAGCAAGGCUACUUUCCCUGGGAGCAGCCUUGACUACCUCAACCUAUAGCUGACUGUGUCUUUAAUAAAAGAAUACUCACCUAGUGUUUUCUGUGUGCCAGACAUUGAUCUAAGUGCUCUAUGUCAUUAAAGGAUCUUUAAUGGGGUGACCACCAUUAUUAGGUGCUG
Cavia porcellus (domestic guinea pig) is the source of this 1472-nucleotide long non-coding RNA. RefSeq lists it as uncharacterized. The transcript is spliced from 3 exons. NCBI's taxonomy places the organism in Eukaryota, Metazoa, Chordata, Mammalia, Rodentia, Caviidae. The record is from RefSeq and is a predicted model, not a curated record.